CAGCUCGUCGAGUUUUUUUCGAGCCGUACUCCUGUGGAGGACAACCUUCGGAACCUCCGUAGCCCGUCGAGUUAUCUUCAGAUUCUUCAACCCAUCGAUCUCUAUCCGGAUCAGCUCGUCGAGUUUUUUUUCGAAUCGUACUCCUGUGAAGGACAAUCUAUAAGAUCUCUGUAGUCUAUUGAGUUAUCUCCGUAUCCUCCAGCCCAUCGAUCUCUAUCUGGGCCAGCUCAUUAAGUUUUCCUCUAAGCUGUACUCCUACGGAGGACAACCUAUGGGACCUUCGCAGCCCGUCGAGUUAUCUUUGUGUCCUUCAGUCCAUCGAUCUCUAUCCGAACCAGCUUGUUGAGUUUUUUUCUGAGUCGUAUUCCUGCAGAGGACAACCUAUGUGAUCUCUACGGCCCAUCAAGUUAUCUUCGGAUCCUCCAGUCAAUCGACCUUUAUCCAGACUAGCUUGUUGAGUUUUUCUUCGAGCCAUACUCUUACGAAGGAUAACCUACGAGACCUCUGCAGCCCAUCGAGUUAUCUCCACGCCAGUCCAUCGAUCUUCAUCCGAAUCAGCUUUUGAUCGACUAAAAAUGAGCAGAGCAAUAAUGCCUCUC
Molecule: long non-coding RNA, 599 nt
Filed under: Elaeis guineensis (African oil palm)
Lineage: Eukaryota; Viridiplantae; Streptophyta; Magnoliopsida; Arecales; Arecaceae
Description: long non-coding RNA (EGUI_LNC079713)
Source: RNAcentral